Molecule: non-coding RNA, 45 nt
Filed under: Schistosoma curassoni
Lineage: Eukaryota; Metazoa; Platyhelminthes; Trematoda; Strigeidida; Schistosomatidae
Source: RNAcentral
AUCCAACUGACGAGUCCCAGAUGGGACGAAACGCGCGUCCAGGAU